CCUACGGGAGGCAGCAGUGGGGAAUAUUGCACAAUGGGCGAAACCCUGAUGCAGCGACGCCGCGUGAGUGAAGAAGUACCUCGGUAUGUAAAGCUCUAUCAGCAGGGAAGAAAAUGACGGUACCUGACUAAGAAGCACCGGCUAACUACGUGCCAGCAGCCGCGGUAAUACGUAGGGGGCAAGCGUUAUCCGGAUUUACUGGGCGGAAAGGGAGCGUAGCCGGUGCUGUAAGUCCGGAGUGAAAGCCCAAGGCUUAACCAUGGUACUGCAUUGGAAACUGGGGAGCUGGAGUGCAGGAGGGGCAGGCGGAAUUCCUAGUGUAGCGGUGAAAUGCGUAGAUAUUAGGAGGAACACCGGCGGCGAAGGCGGCUUGCUGGACCGUAACUGACGUUGAGGCACGAAAGCGUGGGGAGCAAACAGGAUUAGAUACCCUAGUAGUC
RNAcentral lists this ribosomal RNA (440 nucleotides) under uncultured bacterium. Its description in RNAcentral is "partial 16S ribosomal RNA". It matches the Rfam family "Bacterial small subunit ribosomal RNA", at positions 338 to 795 of the family's 1533-position model. The record is from RNAcentral.